Molecule: ribosomal RNA, 461 nt
Filed under: uncultured eukaryote
Lineage: Eukaryota
Description: bacterial SSU rRNA
Rfam family: Eukaryotic small subunit ribosomal RNA
Source: RNAcentral
GCCCUAUCAUACUUUGGACGGUAAUGUAGUGGAUUACGGUGGUGAUGACGGGUAACGGAGAAUAGGGUUUGAUUCCGGAGAGGGAGCAUGAGAAAUGGCUACCACUUCCAAGGAAGGCAGCAGGCGCGUAAAUUACCCAAUCCUAAAACAGGGAGGUAGUGACGAUAAAUAACAAUGAUUCAAUGAUAACAAAGUUGAAUUAAUUGGAAUGAGAACAAUAUAAAUCCCCUUAUCGAGUAACAAUUUCAGGGCAAGUUCUGGUGCCAGCAGCCGCGGUAAUUCCAGCUGAAAAAGCGUAUACGAAUAUUGUUGCAGUUAAAACGCUCGUAGUUGGAAUAAAAAGAGAAAGAGAGAGAGAAAACAAUGUUUUUCAAUCUUUAUUCUAUUUUUUAAUUUUAUAUAUCUCCUAAAAAAAGAUAUAUAGUGUUUACUUUGAAUAAAUUAGAGUGCUUUAAGCAGAU